GUACGGGGGGAGCAAGCGUUGUUCGGAUUUACUGGGCGUAAAGGGCGCGUAGGCGGCGUGACAAGUCACUUGUGAAAUCUCCGGGCUUAACUCGGAACGGUCAAGUGAUACUGUCGUGCUAGAGUACAGAAGGGGCAACUGGAAUUCUCGGUGUAGCGGUGAAAUGCGUAGAUAUCGAGAGGAACACCUGCGGCGAAGGCGGGUUGCUGGGCUGAUACUGACGCUGAGGCGCGAAAGCUAGGGGAGCGAACGGG
RNAcentral lists this ribosomal RNA (254 nucleotides) under uncultured bacterium. Its description in RNAcentral is "partial 16S ribosomal RNA". It matches the Rfam family "Bacterial small subunit ribosomal RNA", at positions 523 to 776 of the family's 1533-position model. The record is from RNAcentral.